CUGAAAUUGUGGACUUCUUGCAAAAGUCUGAACAUUGGAAGAGGUCUGCUGGUCGGGAUCAUGUGAUUCCAAUGCAUCAUCCAAAUGCUUUCAAGCGUUACCGGGAGAAGGUGAAUGCUGCUAUUUUCAUUGUGGCAGAUUUUGGUCGUCCUCCUCCAACAGUGUCUAAUUUGAGGAAAGAUGUAGUGGCCCCAUAUGCACACGUGGUUGAAACUUUUGAAGCUGAUGAUAAUUCAGACCCAUAUGAGUCCCGCACAACGCUUCUUUUCUUCCGUGGGAGGACAGACAGAAAAGAUGAUGGAAAAGACCGUCAGCAAAUGAAAGACAUGUUGAGUGGUCAGAAGGAUGUUGUCUUUGAAGCAGCAGGAAUCUCAGGGAAAGGUGUAAAUGAAUCAACAAAUGGGAUGCGUUUGUCAAAGUUCUGUCUACAUCCAGCAGGGGACACCCCAUCAUCUUGCCGCCUGUUUGAUGCAAUAGUGAGCCAUUGUGUUCCUGUAAUUGUGAGUGACAAAAUUGAGCUACCUUUUGAGGAUGAAUUAGACUAUACCAAAUUCUCGAUGUUUUUCUCACGUGAGGAGGCAAAGAAAGAAGGAUACAUGCUUGAUCAGCUGAGGAGUGUUUCAAAAGCAAGAUGGGUUGAAAUGUGGGGCUAUCUUAAGAACAUUAGCCAUCAUUUUGAGUACCAAUACCCUCCGAAAAAGGGUGAUGCUGUAAACAUGAUAUGGAGGGAGGUGAAGCACAAGCUUCCUGCUACCCAACUUGAUGUACAUAGGAACAGAAGGUUGAAAGUGCCAGAUUGGUGGAGAUAGUGUAUAAUACUGUAUGUACAUUUUGUAUACCAAUAUUGAUAGAGCAAAG
This 858-nucleotide unclassified non-coding RNA is filed under the name Hevea brasiliensis (rubber tree). The record is from RNAcentral. Lineage: Eukaryota; Viridiplantae; Streptophyta; Magnoliopsida; Malpighiales; Euphorbiaceae.